This 603-nucleotide long non-coding RNA is filed under the name Anas platyrhynchos platyrhynchos (common mallard). RNAcentral describes it as "lncRNA (ENSAPLG00000021835.1)". The record is from RNAcentral. Lineage: Eukaryota; Metazoa; Chordata; Aves; Anseriformes; Anatidae.
GUCGGUGACUUAUCACAACCUUGGAGCCGGCUUAACUCCAGAAAAAGUGCGAAUGGGCAGAGCACCAAGGUGUCUGCCCCAUGAAUGAGGCUGGAUGAGCAAAGGUGUCGUCACGCGAACCAGACUGAGCAGGAGAAGGGCUCUGACCAUGGCAGGACCUCGGAAGCUGCAGCCUCCUCCCUCUGCGGCACACCUGAAGUACCUGUCCUGAAAUCAAUGGGCCUAUGCAGAACCAAUCCUGGGGUAAAUGACAGAAGAUUCUUUAAGGUGAAUCACUUUGUGGCUACUGAGAUGAAAAUAACCCUGUCUGUGCUUGUACCUUUCUGUUUUUUCCUUGCAUUCGUUGAUACGUGUUUUAACAUUGGUUCAGAUUUACUUAGAAAUAUUUUCAUACUUCCUUUCAAGAGUGGCUGGAGAAGAUGUUAUAUGGAAAGUCUCAUUCGAUCUGAAUUAAAGAUUUUAUUUUUUUAUAUAAUUUUCUUGGAGAAAACAAAAAAAACCCUGGUUUCAUUCCACUCAAAAUUAUUUUCCCAUUUUCUCAAAAUUGAAGAAAACAAAUCCCUUAAUUUCUCAGCUCUCAUCAACAUCCCCCCCGAGGCUUAG